GAUGAACGCUGGCGGCGUGCUUAACACAUGCAAGUCGAACGAUGAACCUCACUUGUGGGGGGAUUAGUGGCGAACGGGUGAGUAACACGUGAGUAACCUGCCCUUAACUCUGGGAUAAGCCUGGGAAACUGGGUCUAAUACCGGAUAUGACUCCUCAUCGCAUGGUGGGGGGUGGAAAGCUUUUUGUGGUUUUGGAUGGACUCGCGGCCUAUCAGCUUGUUGGUGAGGUAAUGGCUCACCAAGGCGACGACGGGUAGCCGGCCUGAGAGGGUGACCGGCCACACUGGGACUGAGACACGGCCCAGACUCCUACGGGAGGCAGCAGUGGGGAAUAUUGCACAAUGGGCGAAAGCCUGAUGCAGCGACGCCGCGUGAGGGAUGACGGCCUUCGGGUUGUAAACCUCUUUCAGUAGGGAAGAUGCGAAAGUG
RNAcentral lists this ribosomal RNA (429 nucleotides) under uncultured bacterium. RNAcentral describes it as "bacterial SSU rRNA". It matches the Rfam family "Bacterial small subunit ribosomal RNA", at positions 28 to 458 of the family's 1533-position model. The record is from RNAcentral.